GAUGAACGCUGGCGGCGUGCUUAACGCAUGCAAGUCGAGCGAGAAGUUUUGAAAAGAUUCUUCGGAUGAAAUUUAAAAUGGAAAGCGGCGGACGGGUGAGUAAUGCGUAGGCAACCUGCCCCAUACAAAGGGAUAGCAUUUGGAAACGAAUAUUAAUACCUUAUGAAACUUAACUAGUGCAUGCUAGGUAGGUCAAAGAUUUAUCGGUAUGGGAUGGGCCUGCGUCUGAUUAGCUAGUUGGUGAGGUAACGGCUCACCAAGGCGACGAUCAGUAGCCGACCUGAGAGGGUGAACGGCCACAUUGGAACUGAGACACGGUCCAAACUCCUACGGGAGGCAGCAGUGGGGAAUAUUGCACAAUGGGGGAAACCCUGAUGCAGCAACGCCGCGUGAACGAUGAAGGCCUUUGGGUCGUAAAGUUCUGUUCUAGGUGAUGAAAACUGACAGUAACCUAGGAGAAAGCCCCGGCUAACUCCGUG
RNAcentral lists this ribosomal RNA (479 nucleotides) under uncultured bacterium. RNAcentral's name for it is "partial 16S ribosomal RNA". It matches the Rfam family "Bacterial small subunit ribosomal RNA", at positions 28 to 507 of the family's 1533-position model. The record is from RNAcentral.